Molecule: ribosomal RNA, 253 nt
Filed under: uncultured bacterium
Lineage: Bacteria
Description: partial 16S ribosomal RNA
Rfam family: Bacterial small subunit ribosomal RNA
Source: RNAcentral
UACGGAGGAUCCAAGCGUUAUCCGGAAUCAUUGGGUUUAAAGGGUCCGUAGGCGGUUUAGUAAGUCAGUGGUGAAAGCCCAUCGCUCAACGGUGGAACGGCCAUUGAUACUGCUAGACUUGAAUUAUUAGGAAGUAACUAGAAUAUGUAGUGUAGCGGUGAAAUGCUUAGAGAUUACAUGGAAUACCAAUUGCGAAGGCAGGUUACUACUAAUAUAUUGACGCUGAUGGACGAAAGCGUGGGGAGCGAACAGG